UUAGCUCACAAUUAUACAGCAAAGUCUCCUGGGAGGGUUUAUAUGUUAAGCUCUGUCAGUAAUUUCUCCCCUAGCAAGAAUGAGGAAGAUGAAGAGCUCGGGUAUCUGAGGGCUGGUGUGUCUGCAUGCGUGUGUGUUUUGGGGGCCGACUGAAGGAAGAGAAGGCUGGAGAGAGGGAACAUGGGUCUGAGGGCACAUCGCUAAGGGGUCAAGAGGCCUAAAGGAGGAGUCUAAGGCUCUCCAUCGAACUUGGACUUGGUCUACAUUAGACUUUAACCUCCAUGAGGCUUGGACUUUCAGGCUUCCUCCCUCACACCGCGGGCAGGUGAGGCGUCUGCUACAGGCCUGGUCUCGCAGAGGGGGCCCAGCGCCCCCCGCCGCCGCCUUCUCCUGGAGUCUGUGUGACAGAAUGGGACCUGUGGGAAAGCAGCACGUCAGCACCCAGCCCCGCUUGCGCGCCAGCAGCUAAUUAAAGCCAGGAAGGUGAUGGCGAUUUUCAACUCAUUCCCGUUACAAACAGCCGACCUUCCUACCGAGUUCAAGUACCUUCUGCCUGGCCUGGAAGAACAAUAUCUCUCUGUCUCCCUCUUCCACUGGCCCUCACCUGCCUUCCCCUGAACAUGCAUUUUGCCUGACAGGAGACAGAGGCAGUUGAUGCUUGCAGCUUGGUCCAGGAGGCCAGCAGGACCAGAGAGAAGACCACAGCGACACAUGGGGAUGGCUGUCCCACAGGCAGAAAUGAGCAGCCGGGAGGAAGCCCAGGCAGCCAGCCACCCAGCUCCCUCCACAUCGUGGCCCUAGAACGGAGUCUUGAAGAAUAAGAAGCCACAGCUUGUCAGGGAAUCAGGCUGGAAAAAUGUUAUGAGACUGAGUAAGACCAGAGUUUCUGGGUCAUUGGUGAGACUGGAUUUCAUAGAAGAGUCUUUGCUACAGCAAAACCUCUCUUCAAGCAAUACACUAUUCAAGCUGCUGGAGGCUAGAUUGACCAGAAAAAUGGGGCCAAUAUCAUGAUUCCUCAGCAGUGCCUGGAGAAGACCAGGAGAGGAAGCAGAAGACCCUCCUCAAAGAAGCAGCCUUCACCUCCAGACCUCCCAGCGGGACUUAGACAAUGGGGUUAGGCAGUCACAUGUCUGCACGUGGAAACUUUCUGGGACUGUGCUUGGAUCCUGGCUCUGCCUUUUACUAGCCAUGUGACCUUGGGAAAAUCACUUGACUUCUCCGUGCAGGAUUCCUCAUCUGUAAAAAUGGUCUAAGAUUAGGAGCCACCUCAAGGUUGUUGUAGGAAUUAAAUUAAUUCAUGUUUAUAAAGUGCUUUGAACAGCGUUUGGCACAUGGAGAAUUAAAUGAGCAAACGGAAGAGCAGCAACCCUGAGUUACAUUUCUCAAGACACCGGGGCUCUUGAUGGCACAGCAGCAGCUUGCUAGAGCUUGGUAAAGAGACUUGGGCCUGGUACCUGAAGGGCAAUUCCUUGGCCAUGACAUUGUAGGGAAAGACCUCUAUGGGUGUUGAAAAGACAAGGCGAGGACAAGAAGAGUUGAAAAGGAGCUGUUCUGAAGCCACCUGGCUGUGGAUGGAGGAAGCCACAUGUAGCUUAGGUAGCCUGCUAUUGUAAUUUUUUCUGCAACUGAAGAAUUCGAAAUGGGUUUGGUGGGUAGCGAAGGGCAGAAUCUGGCUUCAAGGUGACAGAGUUUGCAUAGAGAUGGCCUUCUUGAGCAAAGGUAGUGACUCCUACAUUUUUUUUUUUUGUAGAGUUGUGAUACCCAUGAGUUAGUCAGCUUGGGCUAUCAUAACAAAAUACCACACAUUGGUUGGCUUAAACAACAGAAAUUCAUUUUCCUGUAAUUCUGGAGGCUGGAAGUCCAAGAUCAAGGUGACGACAGAGUUGGGUUUCCUCUGAAGCCUCUCUCCUUGGUUUUCAGAUGGGUGUCCUCUUGCUGUCUCUUCAUGUGACUGUCCCUCUGCAUGUGUGCCCCUGGGGACUCUUUCUUAUCUUAUAGUGACACUAGUUCUAUUGGAUUGAAGUGUACCCAUACGACCUCAUUUAAACUUAAUUACAUAUUGUAAGGCCCUAACUUCAAAUACAGUCACAUCCUGAGGUACUGUGUAUUAGGGCUUCAACAUAUAAAUUUUGGGGCAAUCCAGUUCAGCCCAUAAAAUCCCUUUUUGGUUGCUUGAUUCUGUUUAUUUGGUGUCAUGCCUUCCUUUUCCUAAAGAACUUCAUGAAUAGAAUUACUUUCUAAGUGAAAGGAACAAAACUGAUUUUUAUUAAAAAUUAUUUUGAGAUGCUUGUGACAAAUUUUGAAGUAAGUGAAGAUUUUCCUGGAGCUUCUACAAAAUCCUGGCUGAGAAUCCCUGCUUUCUGGACAGUUGAGAAGGAAAUACACUUAGUACAGCUGUUAGAGAGAUAUAGUUGCAACCACUGAGUGCUUAUUAUCUGCCAACUUAAAUAUAUUGCCCAAGGGAAUAACAAAUAUUCUAGUGUUCUUGUUAAGUAUAUUGUCUAAGGUCACACAGCUCUUAAACAACAGCUUCAGGAUUUGAACCUGGAAUCUAUCUGACUCCUAAGUCCAGAUGCUGUUCACCACAUUAGGUUGAAGCAUGGCCAGUGUUCAUAACAUACAACUAUGUCUCCAUAUCUUUUGCUAACCAAUGUUCUUGUAUGUGCAUACCUUACAGGGCAGCCAUUCACCACAAGCCCUACUAGAUGGCUUCCUGUAAUAAGGGUAGAACAGUAGUACUCUCCUUUUGAGAAGUUAUUUGUAAUUUUGUUGGUGGGCUGACAUUUAGGCCCUGCUCUCCAGCCCCAGAGGGGAUCCCAUAACCUAGAUCAGGCCAAUGAUGAUUAUCUCCGUGACUGUAGUGGCUGGUCCAGCGGGGAGGGUCAGGCAGGUAAGCUGGCCCAACCUGAGUCCUUCUUGAGGAUUUUAGAAACUGAAGGUAGGAGAGAAAAAUUCUCUCUUUUCUUCUGGGGAACGGGAUGAAGGUGGUGGGUAGGCAGAGCUGUUGGGAUGUGGAUCCAGGGAUUCUGGAAGUCCUGUCCUCCACCAUGUAAAGAAUACAUCCUGCAGAAGGAGAGAAGGGAGCCAGCACACAGAGAAGCAGAGUCAGGAGAUGGAGAAGGAGAAUCCUGAGAGCCUGAAGGUCCCUGGGUCCAGCCAUUGUCAAGGCCGAGUUCUACCGUCCUUAAGUUGUUUACCUUUCUUUCUUGCUUGCUUCUGUUAGAAGAUGAACACUCAAUGAAAAAUCACCAAACAUCUGAGGAAAGCCAUCAAAAUGAAAUAAACGAAACACACAAGUUCCUAAACACAAGUGAACAGCGUGGGCUGGGUUUUUGUCGCUUGGAACUGGAAACGCUGACGAUAAUGCUGACCUCUGAGCAGACCCACGUGAGGGGCAGCUGUGGUGUGGUGUGAUGAUGCUGGGAUAGGCACUCAGAUGGUUGAGUCUGAGUUUGGCUCUGAUAUUAUAUCAACUGCAUGGGCAGCUGUGGUGUGGUGUGAUGAUGCUGGGAUAGGCACUCAGAUGGUUGAGUCUGAGUUUGGCUCUGAUAUUAUAUCAACUGCAUGGGCAGCUGUGGUGUGGUGUGAUGAUGCUGGGAUAGGCACUCAGAUGGUUGAGUCUGAGUUUGGCUCUGAUAUUAUAUCAACUGCAUGGGCAGCUGUGGUGUGGUGUGAUGAUGCUGGGAUAGGCACUCAGAUGGUUGAGUCUGAGUUUGGCUCUGAUAUUAUAUCAACCGCAUCAUUUUGGGGAAGACACAAUUUCUCAGAAUUUUAUUUAGUUGUAAAAUAAAGAUAAUGAUAUUACAUGCUCUGUCUACCAUCUAGAGUUUUUGUCAAGACAAAC
This 3844-nucleotide long non-coding RNA is filed under the name Homo sapiens (human). Its description in RNAcentral is "HSALNT0135472". The record is from RNAcentral. Lineage: Eukaryota; Metazoa; Chordata; Mammalia; Primates; Hominidae.